CCUACGGGAGGCAGCAGUGAGGAAUAUUGGUCAAUGGACGGAAGUCUGAACCAGCCAAGUAGCGUGAGGGAGGAAGGUGCUAUGGGUUGUAGACUUCUUUUAUAGGGGGAUAAAACGCGGCACGUGUACCUUUUUGCGUGUACUUUGUGAAUAAGGAUCGGCUAACUCCGUGCCAGCAGCCGCGGUAAUACGGAGGAUCCGAGCGUUAUCCGGAUUUAUUGGGUUUAAAGGGAGCGUAGAUGGGGGCUUAAGGCGGUUGUGAAAGUGUGCGGCGCAACCGCAGACGUGCCCUGGAUACUGGGAGGCUGGAGUACAGUGGAGGUAGGCGGAAUGCGCGGUGUAGCGGUGAAAUGCAUAGAUAUCACGCAGAACCCCGAUUGCGAAGGCAGCGUACCAAGCCGUGACUGACAUUGAGGCACGAAAGCGCGGGGAUCAAACAGGAUUAGAUACCCGGGUAGUC
Molecule: ribosomal RNA, 460 nt
Filed under: uncultured bacterium
Lineage: Bacteria
Description: partial 16S ribosomal RNA
Rfam family: Bacterial small subunit ribosomal RNA
Source: RNAcentral